UACGUAGGGGGCGAGCGUUGUCCGGAUUUAUUGGGCGUAAAGAGCUCGUAGGCGGUUCGAUAAGUCGGACGUGAAAUCUCCACGCUCAACGUGGAGGGGCCGUUCGAUACUGUCGUGACUCGAGUCCGGUAGGGGAGUGUGGAAUUCCCGGUGUAGCGGUGAAAUGCGCAGAGAUCGGGAGGAACACCCGUAGCGAAGGCGGCACUCUGGGCCUUACCUGACGCUGAGGAGCGAAAGCGUGGGGAGCGAACAGG
Molecule: ribosomal RNA, 254 nt
Filed under: uncultured bacterium
Lineage: Bacteria
Description: partial 16S ribosomal RNA
Rfam family: Bacterial small subunit ribosomal RNA
Source: RNAcentral